CCUACGGGUGGCAGCAGUUAGGAAUUUUGCGCAAUGGGGGAAACCCUGACGCAGCAACGCCGCGUGGAGGAUGAAGGCCUUCGGGUUGUAAACUCCUUUUAGCAGGGAGACGGUAUCUGCAGAAAAAGCACCGGCUAACUCUGUGCCAGCAGCCGCGGUAAUACAGAGGGUGCAAGCGUUAUUCGGAAUCACUGGGCGUAAAGAGCUCGUAGGCGGUUAAUUAAGUCAUAUGUGAAAGCCCUGGGCUCAAUCCAGGAAGUGCAUCUGAUACUGAUUAACUGGAGUGCAGGAGAGGAAAGCGGAAUUCCAGGUGUAGAGGUGAAAUUCGUAGAUAUCUGGAGGAACAACAGAAGCGAAGGCGGCUUUCUGGACUGUACUGACGCUGAGGAGCGAAAGCGUGGGGAGCAAACAGGAUUAGAUACCCUUGUAGUC
This 432-nucleotide ribosomal RNA is filed under the name uncultured bacterium. Its description in RNAcentral is "partial 16S ribosomal RNA". It matches the Rfam family "Bacterial small subunit ribosomal RNA", at positions 338 to 795 of the family's 1533-position model. The record is from RNAcentral.